This is a long non-coding RNA of Oreochromis aureus, 1121 nucleotides long. RefSeq lists it as uncharacterized. The transcript is spliced from 3 exons. NCBI's taxonomy places the organism in Eukaryota, Metazoa, Chordata, Actinopteri, Cichliformes, Cichlidae. The record is from RefSeq and is a predicted model, not a curated record.
GACUGUUGUCCACUACAGGACUGUUUUAUAAAUUCUUUCUCACAGCUGAAUAAGCUGUUAUUAUUUCACUCCUGCCAGGAAGAGGAAGAGCUGGACACUCUUAUCUGACGCUCCCUAACAAGAAGAGAGGCCGCGUCUUUCUGUAUCCCACAACACACAUGCAUCACUCUUAUCUUCACUCCCUACGCACUAACUUUCCUCUGCCUAUGAAUAGACGUAUUCACUGUUGUAUUAUUUUUGCAUAUAAAUAAAGACAAGUGCAAGAACAGAGCGCGCAUCACAGGGCCCCCACUCUGGUGUGAGCGUUCUGACCGACCGCUUGUAUACAAGUGAAAACCACAGCGUCUGUGUGUGUUUCUACUCUUAGACUCUCAGCUGAAGAAGUGUCUUUAGAAUAAAUCUCUUGACACUUCUUCUUUUUGUUUUUCACCCAGGAGCAGGCUCUUCUCCUGCCAUUUCAUCAACAGUGUAUGAAAAUGUUCAGGUAACUGAUCUACAAAUGGAUAUCUACGACAAUGACACAAAAUAGAAAAAGAAAAGAGAUUUUUCCGGAACCCUGUCGUACCUUCACCCCUGGACCCCUAGACCCGUGAGCGUGAGUGAAGCUGUUCAGCGUGGAGUUUUGUGUGUGCAAGGAGUGAGAGGAGCCGCGUGUGUGUGAAGAUCUUAUGUCCCUUGACUCCUGAAACACUGGCCUUUCCACCCCACGUGUAUAUAGUGGACUCAGUGUGGAUUAAUAAAAAACUGUUUAACUGUACUUUCUGUUUGCGCCUGAGUCCACCUCACCAGCCGUAACAGUACCUCACAGCAGUAGAAUAAUGGCUAUGUAAUACUACUGGUUGCCUGCCUUCUAAAGGCCAAACAUUGUUCGCAGUAAAACAAAAAGCAUUCGGUUUUCAUGAGGGAUAUGAAAACAGAAGAUAAAAUGUGGUCUAUCUAAAAGAGAAAGAAAAGAAAAAUAUAUUAUUAUAUUUAACCUUAAAUGCAAUGUUUUUGAACGAUUAAAACAUCAGUUGCCUCAAGGCGCUUUAUAUUUUAAGAUAAACCCUAAAAUGAUACACACAGAGAAAAACCCAACAAUCAUUUGACCCCUAUGAGCAAGCACUUUGGUGACAGUGGGA